RNAcentral lists this ribosomal RNA (1371 nucleotides) under Shigella boydii. Its description in RNAcentral is "bacterial SSU rRNA". It matches the Rfam family "Bacterial small subunit ribosomal RNA", at positions 185 to 1533 of the family's 1533-position model. Lineage: Bacteria; Pseudomonadati; Pseudomonadota; Gammaproteobacteria; Enterobacterales; Enterobacteriaceae. The record is from RNAcentral.
GUCGCAAGACCAAAGAGGGGGACCUUCGGGCCUCUUGCCAUCGGAUGUGCCCAGAUGGGAUUAGCUUGUUGGUGGGGUAACGGCUCACCAAGGCGACGAUCCCUAGCUGGUCUGAGAGGAUGACCAGCCACACUGGAACUGAGACACGGUCCAGACUCCUACGGGAGGCAGCAGUGGGGAAUAUUGCACAAUGGGCGCAAGCCUGAUGCAGCCAUGCCGCGUGUAUGAAGAAGGCCUUCGGGUUGUAAAGUACUUUCAGCGGGGAGGAAGGGAGUAAAGUUAAUACCUUUGCUCAUUGACGUUAUCCGCAGAAGAAGCACCGGCUAACUCCGUGCCAGCAGCCGCGGUAAUACGGAGGGUGCAAGCGUUAAUCGGAAUUACUGGGCGUAAAGCGCACGCAGGCGGUUUGUUAAGUCAGAUGUGAAAUCCCCGGGCUCAACCUGGGAACUGCAUCUGAUACUGGCAAGCUUGAGUCUCGUAGAGGGGGGUAGAAUUCCAGGUGUAGCGGUGAAAUGCGUAGAGAUCUGGAGGAAUACCGGUGGCGAAGGCGGCCCCCUGGACGAAGACUGACGCUCAGGUGCGAAAGCGUGGGGAGCAAACAGGAUUAGAUACCCUGGUAGUCCACGCCGUAAACGAUGUCGACUUGGAGGUUGUGCCCUUGAGGCGUGGCUUCCGGAGCUAACGCGUUAAGUCGACCGCCUGGGGAGUACGGCCGCAAGGUUAAAACUCAAAUGAAUUGACGGGGGCCCGCACAAGCGGUGGAGCAUGUGGUUUAAUUCGAUGCAACGCGAAGAACCUUACCUGGUCUUGACAUCCACGGAAGUUUUCAGAGAUGAGAAUGUGCCUUCGGGAACCGUGAGACAGGUGCUGCAUGGCUGUCGUCAGCUCGUGUUGUGAAAUGUUGGGUUAAGUCCCGCAACGAGCGCAACCCUUAUCCUUUGUUGCCAGCGGUCCGGCCGGGAACUCAAAGGAGACUGCCAGUGAUAAACUGGAGGAAGGUGGGGACGACGUCAAGUCAUCAUGGCCCUUACGACCAGGGCUACACACGUGCUACAAUGGCGCAUACAAAGAGAAGCGACCUCGCGAGAGCAAGCGGACCUCAUAAAGUGCGUCGUAGUCCGGAUUGGAGUCUGCAACUCGACUCCAUGAAGUCGGAAUCGCUAGUAAUCGUGGAUCAGAAUGCCACGGUGAAUACGUUCCCGGGCCUUGUACACACCGCCCGUCACACCAUGGGAGUGGGUUGCAAAAGAAGUAGGUAGCUUAACCUUCGGGAGGGCGCUUACCACUUUGUGAUUCAUGACUGGGGUGAAGUCGUAACAAGGUAACCGUAGGGGAACCUGCGGUUGGAUCACCUCCUUACCUUAAAGAAGC